Molecule: long non-coding RNA, 680 nt
Organism: Helianthus annuus (common sunflower)
Lineage: Eukaryota; Viridiplantae; Streptophyta; Magnoliopsida; Asterales; Asteraceae
Exons: 3
Source: RefSeq, a predicted model, not a curated record
GAUCUGUGUAGUAUUUCAGACAUGCGCUGGGUUCGUCAACGAUGGUGGCUGUGGUUGGAAGAUGAUGACGUUGGUUGGUGGCCAGAUUGGUACUAUCCUUACCAGAUCUACCUUUUUGUUUUGUAUUUGUGUGGUUUAUGUUUAUACGCUGUUAAAUUUCAUGUGUUAUAAGUUGUUUUAAACAGUUUUGCUACUGUUUUUGGAUGUAUUUAUGUUAGAUCUGCAUAAAAUUUUCAGAUUUGUGUUGGUUCUGGGUUUUUGUAAUGUUUUGUGAACUGAUAUUGUGAAUGGAGUGAUAAAAUGAAGGUUAUUGCUUCAUUUGAUGGGUGAAUAGAUGAAGCAUGAUUGAGAAAACAGUUUAAUGUAGAAUGUUGUAUGUUGUAUUUGGUUUACACAUCAGGAAUGAUCAUGUGGAUGAGGAUGCAGCCAGCACAGCCACAACAACUUUAUACGCUGUUGAUGUAACGCAUGCAGCCAUACCAACUGUUAUAAUCUCCAACUGUUGAUGUAACGCAUGCAGCCAUACCAAUUUAACACAUGAGUUUAACGACAGCUGUUGAUGUCUCUCAUAAAUGUAAGGAUAUAAUUUCUUUAUUUAUACAAUUAUAUCGAACAUUCAGUCUCAAUUCAUAUCCCUGCGUAGGUUGAUGGUUUGGAGGAUGCUUUUGCUGUCAAACAAG